AGCCUACUCUAGCCCAACCCCCAACACAAUUGAGCCACCUCUGCCCACCAAACUAAAACAUUCUCCCAAGGUCCAGUAUAGAGAUAGAAAGGCCCCCCCCCCCGGCGCAAUAGAGAUUAUGUACCGUAAGGGAAAGAUGAAAUAGCAAUGACAAACCAAGCACUUAACAGCAAAGACCAAUCCUUGUACCUUUUGCAUCAUGAUUUAGCAAGAAUCAAUCAAGCAAGGCGCCAACUUAAGCUUACAACCCCGAAACCUAAGCGAGCUACUUACGAAUAGCUACUUAAUGAGCAAACCCGUCUCUGUUGCAAAAGAGUGGGAUGAUUCGUUAGUAGAGGUGAAAAGCCAACCGAGCUAGGUGAUAGCUGGUUGCCUAUGAAAUGAAUCUAAGUUCUCCCUUAAUUCACCUCCAAAGGCCCCACUUAACCCCCAUGAAGCGAAUCAAGGACUAUUUAAAGGAGGUACAGCUCCUUUAAAAAAGAACACACUCUCCUCUAGCGGAUAAAUCAGCUUUCCCCUAUCCUACUGUGGGCCUUCCAGCAGCCAUCACCAAAGAGUGCGUCAAAGCUCCAUAAAAAAAAUUUCCAAACUAUAUGACUCCCUUCCCCAUAAUAGGCUAUCUUAUCAAAAUAUAAGAGAACUUAUGCUAAAAUGAGUAACUAGGAACCUCCUCCACGGCGCAAGCUUACAUCAUUACAUUAUUAACAAACUCUGAUAUUUUCUAAUUAACAACAAGACCAAAUAUCAUAAACUCUGUUAACCCGCCUAUGGAGCGCCUUCAAAGGAAGAUUAAAAUCUGUAAAAGGAACUAGGCAAACCCAAGGCCCGACUGUUUACCAAAAACAUAGCCUUCAGCAAACCAAGUAUUGAAGGUGAAGCCUGCCCAGUGACAGCCUGUUCAACGGCCGCGGUAUCCUAACCGUGCAAAGGUAGCGCAAUCAAUUGUCCCAUAAAUCGGGACCUGUAUGAAUGGCCAAACGAGGUCUUAACUGUCUCUUACAGAUGAUCAGUGAAAUUGAUCUCCCUGUGCAAAAGCAGGAAUAAACUCAUAAGACGAGAAGACCCUGUGGAACUUCAAAAUCAACAGCCACUCUCCCUCACAACCUCCCCACCAGGUAUAUCUUCUCCACGGACUGUAUUGGCCUGUAUUUUUCGGUUGGGGCGACCUUGGAGAAAACCCACCCUCCAAAAACCAGACCACCCCUCUUAACCAAGAACCACCCAUCAACGUACUAACAGUAACCAGACCCAAUAUAAUUGAUUAAUGGACCCAGCUACCCCAGGGAUAACAGCGCAAUCUCCCCCAAGAGCCCCCAUCGACAGGGAGGUUUACGACCUCGAUGUUGGAUCAGGACAUCCUAGUGGUGCAGCCGCUACUAAGGGUUCGUUUGUUCAACGAUUAAUAGUCCUACGUGAUCUGAGUUCAGACCGGAGUAAUCCAGGUCGGUUUCUAUCUAUGAUAAACUCUUUCCAGUACGAAAGGACAGAAAGAGUGGGGCCUAUACUAAACGCACGCCUCCGUCCCAAGUAAUGAACCCAACUAAAUUACUAAAAGCUACAUCACUUAAUAUUUAAUCCUAGAAAAGGACC
This 1590-nucleotide ribosomal RNA is filed under the name Tyrannus tyrannus (eastern kingbird). Its description in RNAcentral is "16S ribosomal RNA". It matches the Rfam family "Bacterial large subunit ribosomal RNA", at positions 388 to 2925 of the family's 2925-position model. Lineage: Eukaryota; Metazoa; Chordata; Aves; Passeriformes; Tyrannidae. The record is from RNAcentral.